RNAcentral lists this unclassified non-coding RNA (2887 nucleotides) under Hevea brasiliensis (rubber tree). The record is from RNAcentral. Lineage: Eukaryota; Viridiplantae; Streptophyta; Magnoliopsida; Malpighiales; Euphorbiaceae.
UGGUACCAUUGUUUUGAUUAAACAUAGAAAAUACAGUUCCCAUCCACUGGAUUAACUAUUCCAUAGGUAUGUACAUAUACACACGGGAAUAGUAUAAUAAUGGUUUCCCCCCUACAUCAGCUGUCUCUGUCUGUCUAAUUGAGAACCCAAAAUGAUGACAUUCUUUAGAAAUAAUAUCCGAAAAUGAGAAGAAAAAUUAAGUAUAUUCCCUAUUUGCCCUCUUUAUCCUUGAAUCGCUGAGAAACAUCAUUACGCAGCAUCUGCAUGAAUUCGUCGGCUAGGUUCUCUUCACUGGAUAGUUCAUCAGCCAGACUUAGAUCGCUACUUCCAUGGUGAUGCAAAGAUUCUGUACUUUGAACCAAAGAACGAAGAAUCUCUACAGGUGGACUAUUGUUCUCGAUUUCUUGGGCAACCUCAUGAAGAUCAAUCUGAACGUUUUCAGUGGUUGGUGUUGCCCCUCUUACUGCAGUAUUCUCACCAAGCCUCUGUGCAAUAUUAGGAAUUCGUUGAGGCACACCUGAGAUGCCACCAAGAGCUUGAGACACAAUUGGCAUCAUUUGCUGAAACAUCCUAGACAAGUCCAUACCACCACCUUGCCCGGAAAACAUGCUUCCAAGAUCCUGGGUGUCAAUCUGCUGCGCAAUCUGACUAACAGUGUUCAUCAUUGCUGGACUUUGAGUGAAUUGCUGCAUCAUAUUCCUCAAGAGAUCCGGAGAGCCAGCCCCAGUUUGUUGUGAAACCCCACUCAACAAACCAUUUAAAGCAGGACUCUGAAGGACACUAGACAUUGCAUCUGCUAUCUCUGACUGGCCAUCAACAUUUCGGUUUCCCGAGCCAAUAGUCCCCAUAACUCCCCUAUCUAAGUGUGUCAUUGAAGGCAUAGCAGGCUCAUUUCCCCUGGCUGCAAGCGCUGCAAGAGACUGCAAAAAUUGACGCUCAUCUCUUUGAGGUAGUUCAUUUGGAUUGCUGCUACUUGAACCAUCAGCAUUAAUUCCAUGAGCUACAGAUUGCUUAGUUCGUUUCUUAGGCUGCAAACCUCCGAGCCCUAAUCCAAGGGGCACAGAUGAGGAUUCAUCAGGACUACCUAACUCCUGACUAGACCUUUGAGCUCUUCCUACACUGGCUGAAGCUUCUGGCUUACUAUGAGACAUUUCGCUUGAUUGACCUACACUCAUUUUAUCCUCUCUCCCGGGAACACUGUGUGCUGGUAGAGGCUCAGGCACAGUCAUCCCACUUGCAGAUGUCUCAUCUAGUUGAGUGCUAACAGUAUCAUUCUCAGCACCAGACGCAGUAGAGCGCUCUUGGCCACUUGGGCCAUCUGAUUGGCCAGGCUGUGGCAUACUAGAGACUGAGAUAACAGCAGGCCUUGGUGCCACAGCUGUAGCCAUUAUAUUUCCAACAGGCAGAACCCUUGUUUGGCCAGAAUCAGUUCCAUUACCACGUUCACCGUGUGCUCCAUCUCCAUUGGCCGCCCUAGCACCAACUGCAGAAGUAAUAGGCGCUGCAUGUAUAUGAAUAUUGACAUGCCUUGGGGCAUUACCAAUCCCAAGAGCGCCAAAGGUACCGGGGUUAGGUGGAACAGCAGCUGAGUUACCGAAGAGUGAACUGGUUUGAAGGGGGAAAGGCUGAACCAUUAUGGGGUUCGGCCCGGUGGAAGAUAUGUAAACUGCAGGACCAGCAUUUACUGAAGAUUCAGCAGGUGAUUGUCCCAUUCUGAGAGUCAAUAUCGUCCUUCCAAGCUCUAAUAGAAGGGCACCUAAAUGUUGCAUAACUUGACCAAUUAGCACAGACUCUGUCUGCACCUGUCCCCUUAAUGCAGGAUCACUGGAGACUCUUCCUUGUUCCAACCGCCCUGCAAAGUGAGAUAAUGCUGCAAUAACUUGACCACCAAAAAGACGCUCUGCCUGACGCAGCGCAAGGCUCAACACUUCUGGACUCGAUAAGCCACGAUCAUGUGUAGGCAACUGUACUGCAGGUGGAUCUCCCGCAUUAUUAGGUGACUGGUUCGGCGGGUAACCAUUCUGUGAGAAUACAUGCUCCAUCCCGUCCAUGAAUUCAGAAAGCGUGAUCAAGGAAUCCAAAAGGGGCAAAUUAAUUGAGGGGACAGCUAUUGCUGCCCCCAGAGGAAUUUGCACUACUUGCGGCAAAGAUUGACCAGAAAAUGCCUGCCCAGAUUGCUGACUUCCUGACUGACUUAAGCUCUCAUUUCCUUGAGGGCGAGGAGCUGGAGUGCUGGCCUGCACACCAGGAAGCUGUCCACCGGUCAUGUUCCCGAUCCCUACAGUGUUCAAAACUGCCCCAAUAACCCGAUUAAGAUCAGGCACAAGUCCUUCCCCCGGAUCUCCAACAUUAAAAGUUCCAAGGACAACACUGUGUGAAAUCUGCCCGAUACGAUUCCGUGAGCCACCAGCAGUGGGUUGAGGCUCUUGUCCUCUGUUAACAUUGUUAGUAGUAGCUUCGCCACUGCUACCACCUGAUGGAGCUUGCAAUUGAGACUGCCUCAGCACUAAAUGUAGUGUGUCCCCAUUUUCCACAUAAUAUUCAGAAAGAAGGUGAUUAUCCUUCAAGACCUUGCCCCUAAAAAUUAGUCUCUGCUGCUCAACAGGUACACCAAUCUGACUUGCUAGUUUGUCCUUCAAGGCUGAAACUUGCAAAUUCUUAUCCACGUUAAAAGUAUAGGUCUGGGAAUCUAAGGUCUUGAUGUUGAGAACCACGGUUGAUUCAGAACUUCCACCAGAAUCAUUACUUGUACUUGACCCUUCAACUGCUUGCUGAUCAGCCAUGAAGACUUCAGAAACAACAACUACACGCAGGAGUUCACCGGAGAUUGAGAUCGGAAGGAGCAAAGGAGAGUGAGUGGCGUCAACUUUGGCCAGAGAUUUAGCUG